This 85-nucleotide transfer RNA is filed under the name Acidimicrobiales bacterium MED-G01. RNAcentral's name for it is "tRNA-Leu". It matches the Rfam family "tRNA". From Rfam's summary of the family: Transfer RNA (tRNA) molecules are approximately 80 nucleotides in length. The record is from RNAcentral. RNAcentral also lists the same sequence under 3 other names. Lineage: Bacteria; Bacillati; Actinomycetota; Acidimicrobiia; Acidimicrobiales.
GCGCCGGUGGCGGAACUGGCAGACGCGCCGGCUUUAGGUGCCGGUGUCUUCGGGCGUGUGGGUUCGAGUCCCACCCGGCGCACAA